AGAGUUUGAUCCUGGCUCAGAUUGAACGCUGGCGGCAUGCCUUACACAUGCAAGUCGAACGGUAACGCGGGGGCAACCCUGGCGACGAGUGGCGAACGGGUGAGUAAUACAUCGGAACAUAUCCAGUAGCGGGGGAUAACCUAUCGAAAGAUGGACUAAUACCGCAUACGAUCUACGGAUGAAAGCAGGGGACCGCAAGGCCUUGCACUAUUGGAGUGGCCGAUGUCGGAUUAGCUAGUUGGUGAGGUAAAGGCUUACCAAGGCGACGAUCCGUAGCUGGUCUGAGAGGACGAUCAGCCACACUGGAACUGAGACACGGUCCAGACUCCUACGGGAGGCAGCAGUGGGGAAUUUUGGACAAUGGGCGCAAGCCUGAUCCAGCCAUGCCGCGUGAGUGAAGAAGGCCUUCGGGUUGUAAAGCUCUUUCGGCGAAGACGAAACGGUUAGCGCUAAUAACGCUGACUAAUGACGGUACUCACAGAAGAAGCACCGGCUAACUACGUGCCAGCAGCCGCGGUAAUACGUAGGGUGCAGGCGUUAAUCGGAAUUACUGGGCGUAAAGCGUGCGCAGGCGGUUUGCUAAGACAGGUGUGAAAUCCCCGGGCUUAACUUGGGAAAUGCGCUUGUAACUGGCAAGCUAGAGUGUGGCAGAGGGGGGUGGAAUUCCACGUGUAGCAGUGAAAUGCGUAGAUAUGUGGAGGAACACCGAUGGCGAAGGCAGCCCCCUGGGUUAACACUGACGCUCAUGCACGAAAGCGUGGGGAGCAAACAGGAUUAGAUACCCUGGUAGUCCACGCCCUAAACUAUGUCAACUAGUUGUCGGGGAAGAAAUUCCUUGGUAACGAAGCUAACGCGUGAAGUUGACCGCCUGGGGAGUACGGCCGCAAGGUUAAAACUCAAAGGAAUUGACGGGGACCCGCACAAGCGGUGGAUUAUGUGGAUUAAUUCGAUGCAACGCGAAAAACCUUACCUACCCUUGACAUGCUAGGAAGCCCGCAGAGAUGUGGGUGUGCCCGAAAGGGAACCUAGACACAGGUGCUGCAUGGCUGUCGUCAGCUCGUGUCGUGAGAUGUUGGGUUAAGUCCCGCAACGAGCGCAACCCUUGCCAUUAGUUGCUACAUUCAGUUGGGCACUCUAAUGGGACCGCCGGUGACAAACCGGAGGAAGGUGGGGAUGACGUCAAGUCCUCAUGGCCCUUAUGGUAGGGCUUCACACGUAAUACAAUGGUCGGUACAGAGGGCUGCCAACCCGCAAGGGGGAGCUAAUCCCAGAAAGCCGAUCGUAGUCCGGAUUGUAGUCUGCAACUCGACUGCAUGAAGCCGGAAUCGCUAGUAAUCGCGGAUCAGCAUGUCGCGGUGAAUACGUUCCCGGGUCUUGUACACACCGCCCGUCACACCAUGGGAGUGGGUUCCACCAGAAGUAGUUAGCCUAACCGCAAGGAGGGCGAUUACCACGGUGAGAUUCAUGACUGGGGUGAAGUCGUAACAAGGUA
Molecule: ribosomal RNA, 1492 nt
Filed under: metagenome
Description: bacterial SSU rRNA
Rfam family: Bacterial small subunit ribosomal RNA
Source: RNAcentral